RNAcentral lists this ribosomal RNA (301 nucleotides) under uncultured bacterium. Its description in RNAcentral is "partial 16S ribosomal RNA". It matches the Rfam family "Bacterial small subunit ribosomal RNA", at positions 509 to 807 of the family's 1533-position model. The record is from RNAcentral.
CAGUCGCCGCGGUAAUACGGAGGGGGCUAGCGUUGUUCGGAUUAACUGGGCGUAAAGGGUGCGUAGGCGGGGACUUAAGUCAGGGGUGAAAUCCCAAGGCUCAACCUUGGAACUGCCUUUGAUACUGGGUUUCUUGAGUCCUGGAGAGGUGAGUGGAACUGCGAGUGUAGAGGUGAAAUUCGUAGAUAUUCGCAAGAACACCAGUGGCGAAGGCGGCUCACUGGCCCGGUACUGACGCUGAGGCACGAAAGCGUGGGGAGCAACCAGGAUUAGAUACCCCCGUAGUCCCUGUCUCUUAUAC